UCAUCAAAGUCUCAUUUCUGUUCAAAACUUUUCAAAUAUUUUAUUUUUUUUAUUCUGUUCAUGUUUCAGAGAGAAAGAAAACUGUAAAGUUUAAAUGUUUAAAAGCAGCUUAUUUCAGAUUGAUUAUUGUGUAAUAUUAAUGGGAGUUUGGUGCGUUUGCUGUGCUGCGUUCAGGCACGCUGAUGCAUUAUGAACGGUCCGGCAGUGCAGCUCUGAUGGAGCCGCUGGCAGCAGAAUAAUGAUGCAGGGAGGAGAAGGACCAGUUUGAACCUGAAUUCACUCAUCGUCAGCAGAUAGGAAGAAAAAACAUCUUAAUGUUGAUUGUUUUCUGUCCGCCUACGUUUCAUCCUCACAGCCUCCUAAAUUACACCAUCAGACUUCUCACGCCAACAGGAAGGAGGUCAAUCUGACGCCAUAAUGGUUUGAAGUGGGAGGGAAAAAUCACCCCUGAACUUUCCCCAGUUUCCCCACAUGGACUCCUGAAUGCUCUGAGCUCCUAAUGGCAGAGAUGACAGGAGGACGUCUUCUGGAACUAAGCUCUGCAGCGCCACCUAUAGGAGCCCACAGCGUUCCCGGCCAGAGGAACCUGCUGCAGGAACAUCUGGGUCCCAAUCAUCUACCAUUAAACACCUCCCGUCUUCACUGGAACCAGCGAUGGAUGAAAGCAGCGUUCGAACCUCAGACCUCCUGUCUGUGGAAAUGUUCCUGUCUGAUAAAGCUGUGAAGUUGUUUGCGGGGCUCGAACCAACAACUCCUGCAGAGAGGCGUCACACAAUGAAGACUCUGCUGCAAAUGUUCUGGAUUCAUUCAGCUUCACUGAAGGAAUCAGAUGGUUUUCUGCAGGGAGAGAAGCCUUCCUAAGAAAAUACACAGCAGAGCGUCUAAAGCUGCAGCUGAAAGCAGUGGAGGAGGAGGAG
Cyprinodon variegatus (sheepshead minnow) is the source of this 917-nucleotide long non-coding RNA. RefSeq lists it as uncharacterized. The transcript is spliced from 3 exons. The record is from RefSeq and is a predicted model, not a curated record. Lineage: Eukaryota; Metazoa; Chordata; Actinopteri; Cyprinodontiformes; Cyprinodontidae.